This 502-nucleotide ribosomal RNA is filed under the name uncultured bacterium. Its description in RNAcentral is "bacterial SSU rRNA". It matches the Rfam family "Bacterial small subunit ribosomal RNA", at positions 25 to 518 of the family's 1533-position model. The record is from RNAcentral.
CAGAACGAACGCUGGCGGCGCGUUUAAGCAUGCAAGUCGAGCGGCAAGGGCCUUCGGGCCCCUAGAGCGGCGGACGGGUGAGUAACACGUGGACAAUCUGCCCCCCGGCCCGGGAUAGCCCAGGGAAACCUGGAUUAAUACCGGAUGAGACGGGACCCGCGAUGGCGGGAUCCGGGAAAGGCGCUGCGGCGCCGCCGGGGGAUGAGUCUGCGUCCCAUUAGCUAGACGGCGGGGUAACGGCCCACCGUGGCGACGAUGGGUAGCCGGCCUGAGAGGGUGGACGGCCACAUUGGAACUGAGACACGGUCCAGACUCCUACGGGAGGCAGCAGCUAAGAAUCUUCCGCAAUGGGCGAAAGCCUGACGGAGCGACGCCGCGUGAACGAAGAAGGCCGUGAGGUUGUAAAGUUCUUUUCGGGAGGGGGAACAACCGUGGCAGGGAAUGGCCGCGGGAUGACGUGAAUCCCGGAAUAAGCCCCGGCUAACUACGUGCCAGCAGCUGC